Molecule: ribosomal RNA, 245 nt
Filed under: uncultured Peptostreptococcus sp.
Lineage: Bacteria; Bacillati; Bacillota; Clostridia; Peptostreptococcales; Peptostreptococcaceae
Description: partial 16S ribosomal RNA
Rfam family: Bacterial small subunit ribosomal RNA
Source: RNAcentral
UAACGCGUGGGUAACCUGCCCUAUACACAUGGAUAACAUACUGAAAAGUUUACUAAUACAUGAUAAUAUAUAUUUACGGCAUCGUAGAUAUAUCAAAGUGUUAGCGGUAUAGGAUGGACCCGCGUCUGAUUAGCUAGUUGGUGAGAUAACUGCCCACCAAGGCGACGAUCAGUAGCCGACCUGAGAGGGUGAUCGGCCACAUUGGAACUGAGACACGGUCCAAACUCCUACGGGAGGCAGCAGCG